Molecule: ribosomal RNA, 284 nt
Filed under: uncultured bacterium
Lineage: Bacteria
Description: partial 16S ribosomal RNA
Rfam family: Bacterial small subunit ribosomal RNA
Source: RNAcentral
AAUGAACGUUGGCGGCGUGGAUUAGGCAUGCAAGUCGAGCGAGAACCCAGCAAUGGGGGACGAGCGGCGAAAGGGAACGAGUAAUGUGUAGAUCAUCUGCCCUCCAGGCCCGGGGACGUAGCUGCGGGAAACGUAGCAGGUAAUACCGGAUAAUAUCUCCGGAUCAAAGGUGUGAUUCCGCCUGGGGAGUGAGUCUACAUCCUAUUAGCUAGUUGGUAGGGUAAGUGGCCUACCAAGGCAUUGAUGGGUAGCGGGUGUGAGAGCACGACCCGCGUCAUUGGGAC